GAUGAAGAACGCAGCGAAAUGCGAUAAGUAAUGUGAAUUGCAGAAUUCAGUGAAUCAUCGAAUCUUUGUACGCACAUUGCGCCCGCCAGUAUUCUGGCGGGCAUGCCUGUCUGAGCGUCAUUUCAACCCUCAUGCCCCUAGGGCGUGGUGUUGGGGAUCGGCCAAAGCCCGCGAGGGACGGCCGGCCCCUAAAUCUAGUGGCGGACCCGUCGUGGCCUCCUCUGCGAAGUAGUGAUAUUCCGCAUCGGAGAGCGAUGAGCCCCUGCCGUUAAACCCCCAACUUUCCAAGGUUGACCUCAGAUCAGGUAGGAAUACCCGCUGAACUUAAGCAUAUCAAUAAGCGGAGGA
This 348-nucleotide unclassified non-coding RNA is filed under the name soil metagenome. RNAcentral describes it as "partial contains 5.8S ribosomal RNA, internal transcribed spacer 2, and large subunit ribosomal RNA". The stretch from base 1 to 120 matches the Rfam family "5.8S ribosomal RNA", at positions 35 to 154 of the family's 154-position model. The record is from RNAcentral.